RNAcentral lists this unclassified non-coding RNA (217 nucleotides) under Hevea brasiliensis (rubber tree). The record is from RNAcentral. Lineage: Eukaryota; Viridiplantae; Streptophyta; Magnoliopsida; Malpighiales; Euphorbiaceae.
CUAUGGUAAAGGGCUCUAGUUCCCGAUCAUCGUCACGAGAACCACUAUAAUUGUCACCUUCAUCAAGGUAAGCCAUCUCGAUUGGGGUGACUUCCCCACUCUGAUACCACCUGACGCAGCAUGAAGUUAAAAUAGAAACACAAUCCAUACACGAGUGAAAAAAUAGGGAAAAUUCUCUGCAGUAUUUUUAUUGAUUAAAAUCUGUCUCUUGAAAUUA